GCGACUGCUGCUGCUUUGAAAAAGAAAAAUCCUACAAUGCAAGUGAAAGGACAGAUUUUCUGAGCCACUGCUUCUGCACCAGGGUGAGGGUUCAGAAGGACGAAAUACAGGCACCAAGACCUGUACUCGUUGGAGACUAUGAUGGACAACACAACAUGAAUUUCUUGCCCUCAGGUGGUUUACAAUCUAGAGAGGGAGGCAGACAAAUGACCAGAUGACAUCCGAGAGACCAAGCUUUGCCUGCCCUCCUGUGGCCUUGGCUGGGGGAUCCUCCUGUGGCCCAUGGAAGGGGCAUUUCUCUGAACUGAAGGACUCCACCUCUCCUAUGCUAUAACUGGCCAGGGAUGGGCCUGCAGUGGCUGAUCAGAGGUUCAGCCCUUGGUAAUUCAAGCCAAUCCAGUUUCUUGCCUUAAAAUUUGUAAUUGACAUGCUGACAGAUGAAGUUAGUUACAGGUGGUGAGUGAGCUUCAAGUUUAUGGAGACUUGGGACUGAAGCCACUUGAUGAGCCACGUAUUCCCAGAGAGUGUGUAAAAGCAAAAGAAGCAACCAGAAGAGAGGAUGAGAGAGGGGAAGGGGGCAGACUUGGAGAGUCAGCUCCCCUUGAUGGCAACAACUCCCCUUGCUCCUUAUCUUUGUGUCCUGUGAGAUUACCAUUCUUUAAAAUAAAUCCCUCUCUUCCUGCGA
This 685-nucleotide long non-coding RNA is filed under the name Homo sapiens (human). Its description in RNAcentral is "HSALNT0376313". Lineage: Eukaryota; Metazoa; Chordata; Mammalia; Primates; Hominidae. The record is from RNAcentral.